GCCGCCGUAGCGUAGCCUGGUUAGCGCACAGACAUCCUUAUCCUGGUGGCCGGGUUCAAAUCCCGGCGGCGGCC
Molecule: transfer RNA, 74 nt
Filed under: Candidatus Bathyarchaeota archaeon
Lineage: Archaea; Thermoproteati; Candidatus Bathyarchaeota
Description: tRNA-Arg
Rfam family: tRNA
About the family: Transfer RNA (tRNA) molecules are approximately 80 nucleotides in length.
Source: RNAcentral